GUUCUGUCUGUAUCAGCCAGACCUCUCCUCUCGGGUAUCGGCGCCGUCUCGAGCUUUCGCACCGCCUAAUUCCCAAACCCGGCGCCGCCGUGUUACCCCUUCCCCUACGCCCACGGUCGCGCCUCCAGGCCUCGUCCUAAAGCGCGCCACGCCGAAUUCUUCUCCCCCUCCCACCCCCCUCUGCCCGAUUGGCCUGGCGUGGAGAUCCACCCCCGCGGAUUUUCUCUUCUUGGUCCUGAGACAUGUCUCACUACCAGGAGCACAAUGUUGAUGACAUGGAGGAUGAUUACGACAUGGAUGAUCCGGUAGAUGACAUGGAUGGUGAAGAUUACCUAGGGCCGGAGGCUAGGGACGACUCUGAUGAGGAGGAUGACGAGGAUGCCGAAGCGAAUAAGGCAUCCGACACAUCAUCUGAAGAAGCAAGACGUGGAAAAGACAUUCAAGGAAUACCAUGGGAUCGCUUGGAACUUACCAGAGAAGGAUACAGGGAGACAAGAUUAUUACAGUACAAAAAUUACGAGAAUGUACCUAAUUCUGCAGAAGCAGCAAUGAAGGCAUGCAAAUCUACUGAGAAAGACGGAACAUAUUAUGAGUUCAGGCGAAAUACUAGAUCAGUAAAAUCUACUAUUCUACACUUUCAGCUGAGAAAUUUAGUAUGGGCUACAUCCAAGCAUGAUGCCUACCUAAUAUCGCAUUACUCGGUGCUACACUGGUCAGCCUUGAGUGGUGUGGACACAGAAAUUAUGAAUGUCGAAGGGCAUAUUGCACCAAGUGAGAAACAUCCAGGAAGUUUAUUAGAAGGGUUUUCUCAGACUCAAGUUAGUACGCUGGCAGUCAAGGAUAAUUUGCUAGUAGCUGGUGGUUUCCAAGGAGAGCUAAUAUGCAAAAACCUGGACCAAGAAGGAAUAAGCUUUUGCUGCAGGACAACAUAUGAUGAUAAUGCAAUCACCAAUGCAGUGGAGAUAUUCAACACCUCUAGUGGUGCUGUUCACUUCAUUGCAUCUAUUAACGACUCCGGUGUAAGAGAAUAUGAUAUGGAAAGAUACCAGUUAUGUAAGCAUUUCCGCUUUGAUUGGCCAGUGAAUCACACGUCUUUGAGCCCUGAUGGGAAGCUUGUUCUCGUUGUCGGGGAUGACCCAGAUGCUUUGCUUAUUGAUGCUAAUUCAGGAAAGGCUAUUCAUUCUAUGAAAGGUCACUUGGAUUUCUCAUUUGCAUCGGCUUGGAGCCCUGAUGGCCGGACAUUUGCCACUGGCAAUCAAGACAGGACAUGCCGGGUUUGGGAUGCCAGAAAUCUCUCGCAGUCUCUCCAUGUCUUGAGGGGUAACCUUGGUGCUAUAAGAUCUAUUCGCUACACAUCAGAUGGUCAGUUCCUGUCGAUGGCGGAGCCGGCAGACUUUGUCCACAUCUUUGAUGUCAAAAGUGAUUAUAACAAGAGGCAAGAGCUGGAUUUCUUUGGUGAGAUAUCUGGCAUGUCUUUCAGCCCUGACACGGACACGCUCUUCGUCGGUGUUUGGGACAGGACCUACGGCAGCCUACUUCAGUAUGGCCGCCUCUAUAACUACUCAUACCUUGACUCGCUGUUCUAAGGUCAAUGCAAACAAGUGUUGGUUGGGCCUCUUGUGUGUCACUUCUGCCGAUUUUCGUCGGCGCCGACUAUUAGGUACUCCAUAAUCAGAUUUAUGUUAUAGAUUGGUCAUUCUUUAAUAAUUCAUGUAUCCUGUGUUAUGUGUACAAAAGAAAUGUAUACAGAUAUAGCUUUGCUUUGAGGUAGGAGUUGUAAGUUAUGUUUCUAGGGCUAGUUUGCUCCAUGAAUCUGGAUGUAAACUUUUACCUGAGAUGUGUACCUUGAACAUCUCCUACUGCAUUGACCGAAACCGGUAUGCUUCGGUGGUAUGUGCUAUGCCGCAGUUGUGUGGAGCAGUUUGGAUUGUAUAAUUGAG
RNAcentral lists this ribosomal RNA (1940 nucleotides) under Triticum aestivum (bread wheat). RNAcentral describes it as "partial small subunit ribosomal RNA". Lineage: Eukaryota; Viridiplantae; Streptophyta; Magnoliopsida; Poales; Poaceae. The record is from RNAcentral.